This 1335-nucleotide ribosomal RNA is filed under the name Triticum aestivum (bread wheat). RNAcentral describes it as "partial small subunit ribosomal RNA". Lineage: Eukaryota; Viridiplantae; Streptophyta; Magnoliopsida; Poales; Poaceae. The record is from RNAcentral.
AUGCACCAGGAAGAGAUGUGGAUGAAGCAGCAUUCACGUGUCCGUUGGUUACGUGAAGGAGAUCGCAAUACUUCCUACUUUCAAGCACAAGCAGUAGUGAGAAAACGCAUAAAUAGAAUCGCCGGUCUCAGGCACCAGGACGGCUCGGUUUGUGCAACAGAAAGAGAGGACAAGGAAGAGGUGCAAGCUUUUUACCAGAACUUGUUUGAGUCCCAAGGUUUUCAUGAUGUUAAUAAUUUGUUGAACUCUGUUCCGGUGAAAGUAACACAGGCUAUGAAUGAUCUUCUUAAUAAACCAUAUGAUGCAAUCGAGGUGAGGGAGGCUCUAUUCCAAAUGGCAGCCUCCAAAGCCCCGGACAUUGAUGGGUUUACAGCGGGUUUUUAUCAACAUCACUGGAGUGUUAUCCAGGAGGACGUGACACGAGCAGUACUGGAAUUUCUGAAUGGGAGUGACAUGCCUACCGGACUUAAUGAUACUUCGAUAACUCUUAUUCCAAAGGUACGGCAUCCACAGACAAUUCUUCAAUACCGCCCUAUAGCUCUCUGUCCGGUUCUGUAUAAGAUUGCUGCCAAGGCAAUCACUAAUCGCAUGCGGAGUAUUAUGGAUGAAAUUAUUAGUGAAGAACAGAGUGCCUUUGUUCCUGGACGCUUGAUCACCGACAACGUGUUAGUUGCAUACGAAAGUGUGCACACAAUGAAGCGGAUGAAGAAGGGGAAGAAUUAUUCCUGUGCGCUUAAGCUUGACAUGAUGAAAGCGUACGAUAGAGUCGAAUGGCACUACUUGGAGGCCAUCAUGUUGAGAUUGGGGUUCUCUAUGAGCUUUACUAGGCUCAUUAUGAAGUGUGUAUCUUCUGUCAGAUUCUCGAUUAGGGUCAAUGGGGAGCUUCUCCCUUUCUUCACCCCUUCAAAAGGUUUGCGGCAGGGAGAUCUCGUAUCACCAUAUUUAUUUCUAAUUUGUGCAGAGGGCUUAUCUUCCUUGAUCAAGUCAUAUGAUGGGGGCUAUAUUGACAGGGGGAUCAGAGCUAGCUUCAGAUCACCUUGGGUCAGUCAUUUACUGUUUGCAGAUGACAGUCUUAUAUUCAUCAGUGCAAGUGGACAAAGUGCGGACAGAUUGAAUACAAUUCUGGAGACUUAUGGUAAUGCCUCUGGACAGAGGGUUAACAGAGACAAAAGCGCAAUUUAUUUCAGUACAAACACCCCAGAUUCGGUGCGGCAAACAAUCAAGGCGAUGCUGGACAUUCAGGUUGAGGCUUUUAGCGAGCGGUACCUGGGUCUUCCUACUGCUGUGGGGCGGAUCACAAGUGAAACUUUCGACCACAUUGGUGACAGGGCUUGA